Small nuclear RNA from Vombatus ursinus (common wombat), 103 nucleotides. The record is from Ensembl. NCBI's taxonomy places the organism in Eukaryota, Metazoa, Chordata, Mammalia, Diprotodontia, Vombatidae.
UUGCUUUGGCAGCCCAUAUGCUAAAAUUGAAACAAUACAGAGAAGAUGAGCAUGGCCUCUGCGCAAGCAUGACACACACAUUCAUGAAGCGUUCCAUAUUUUU